AAAGUCGUAACAAGGUUUCCGUUGGUGAACCAGCGGAAGGAUCAUUACAGAGUUCAUGCCCUUACGGGUAGAUCUCCCACCCUUGAAGAAUAUACGUCGUUGCUUUGGCGGACGCUUCGGCAGCCGCCAGAGGACCCUAAACUCUUGUUUACAGUGUCGUCUGAGUACUAUACAAUAGUUAAAACUUUCAACAACGGAUCUCUUGGUUCUG
Molecule: unclassified non-coding RNA, 211 nt
Filed under: Ascomycota sp.
Lineage: Eukaryota; Fungi; Ascomycota
Description: partial contains small subunit ribosomal RNA, internal transcribed spacer 1, and 5.8S ribosomal RNA
Rfam family: Eukaryotic small subunit ribosomal RNA (bases 1-47)
Source: RNAcentral